This 495-nucleotide ribosomal RNA is filed under the name uncultured bacterium. RNAcentral's name for it is "partial 16S ribosomal RNA". It matches the Rfam family "Bacterial small subunit ribosomal RNA", at positions 28 to 507 of the family's 1533-position model. The record is from RNAcentral.
GACGAACGCUGGCGGCGUGCCUAAUACAUGCAAGUAGAACGCUGAAGGAGGAGCUUGCUUCUCUGGAUGAGUUGCGAACGGGUGAGUAACGCGUAGGUAACCUGCCUGGUAGCGGGGGAUAACUAUUGGAAACGAUAGCUAAUACCGCAUAACAGUAGAUAUCGCAUGAUAUCUACUUGAAAGGUGCAAUUGCAUCACUACCAGAUGGACCUGCGUUGUAUUAGCUAGUUGGUGAGGUAACGGCUCACCAAGGCGACGAUACAUAGCCGACCUGAGAGGGUGAUUGGCCACACUGGGACUGAGACACGGCCCAGACUCCUACGGGAGGCAGCAGUAGGGAAUCUUCGGCAAUGGACGGAAGUCUGACCGAGCAACGCCGCGUGAGUGAAGAAGGUUUUCGGAUCGUAAAGCUCUGUUGUAAGAGAAGAACGAGUGUGAGAGUGGAAAGUUCACACUGUGACGGUAUCUUACCAGAAAGGGACGGCUAACUACGUG